This 535-nucleotide ribosomal RNA is filed under the name Tenodera sinensis (Chinese praying mantis). RNAcentral describes it as "partial 16S ribosomal RNA". It matches the Rfam family "Bacterial large subunit ribosomal RNA", at positions 1800 to 2604 of the family's 2925-position model. Lineage: Eukaryota; Metazoa; Arthropoda; Insecta; Mantodea; Mantidae. The record is from RNAcentral.
CUGUUUAUCAAAAACAUGGUUUCUUGUAAUUAUUUAGGAGAUCUGACCUGCCCACUGAAAAUAUUUUGAAGGGCCGCAGUAUUUUGACUGUGCAAAGGUAGCAUAAUCAUUAGUCUUUUAAUUGAAGGCUGGUAUGAAUGGUUGGAUGAGGUAAAUUCUGUUUUAUGUUAAUUGAUGUUGAAUUUAGAUUUUAAGUAAAAAUACUUAAAUGUUAUUAAGGGACGAGAAGACCCUAUAGAGUUUAAUAAAUGUAAUAAUUAAUUGAGUUAAAGUUUAAUUUUUGGUUUUUAUGUAAUUUAUUUAAUUGGGGUGAUUGGAAGAUAAAAUAAACUCUUCUUUAUAUUUAAUAAAUUAAUUAGUUAUAUGAUCCAUAUUUAAUGAUUAAAAGAUUAAAUUACCUUAGGGAUAACAGCAUAAUUCUUUUUAAGAGUUCAUAUCGAAAAAAGAGAUUGUGACCUCGAUGUUGGAUUAAGAUUAGUUAUGGGUGCAGAUGUUCAAUAACUAGGUCUGUUCGACCUUGAAAAUCUUACAUGAU